GCGGGUAUCGUAUAAUGGCUAUUACCUCAGCCUUCCAGGCUGAUGAUGCGGGUUCGAUUCCCGCCUCCUGCUCGA
Molecule: transfer RNA, 75 nt
Filed under: Escherichia coli TA447
Lineage: Bacteria; Pseudomonadati; Pseudomonadota; Gammaproteobacteria; Enterobacterales; Enterobacteriaceae
Description: tRNA-Gly
Rfam family: tRNA
About the family: Transfer RNA (tRNA) molecules are approximately 80 nucleotides in length.
Source: RNAcentral